UACGUAGGUGGCAAGCGUUGUCCGGAUUUACUGGGCGUAAAGAGCGCGCAGGCGGUCGUUCAAGUCGCGUGUGAAAGCCCCUGGCUCAACUGGGGAGGGUCACGCGAUACUGAUCGACUGGAAGGCAGGAGAGGGUAGUGGAAUUCCCGGUGUAGUGGUGAAAUGCGUAGAUAUCGGGAGGAACACCAGUGGCGAAGGCGACUACCUGGCCUGUUCUUGACGCUGAGGCGCGAAAGCUAGGGGAGCAAACGGG
This 253-nucleotide ribosomal RNA is filed under the name uncultured bacterium. RNAcentral describes it as "partial 16S ribosomal RNA". It matches the Rfam family "Bacterial small subunit ribosomal RNA", at positions 524 to 776 of the family's 1533-position model. The record is from RNAcentral.